AGCGAACGCUGGCGGCAGGCCUAGCACAUGCAAGUCGAACGAACUCUUCGGAGUUAGUGGCGGACGGGUGAGUAACACGUGGGAACGUGCCUUUAGGUUCGGAAUAACUCAGGGAAACUUGUGCUAAUACCGAAUGUGCCCUUCGGGGGAAAGAUUUAUCGCCUUUAGAGCGGCCCGCGUCUGAUUAGCUAGUUGGUGAGGUAAAGGCUCACCAAGGCGACGAUCAGUAGCUGGUCUGAGAGGAUGAUCAGCCACAUUGGGACUGAGACACGGCCCAAACUCCUACGGGAGGCAGCAGUGGGGAAUCUUGCGCAAUGGGCGAAAGCCUGACGCAGCCAUGCCGCGUGAAUGAUGAAGGUCUUAGGAUUGUAAAAUUCUUUCACCGGGGACGAUAAUGACGGUACCCGGAGAAGAAGCCCCGGCUAACUUCGUG
Molecule: ribosomal RNA, 433 nt
Filed under: uncultured bacterium
Lineage: Bacteria
Description: partial 16S ribosomal RNA
Rfam family: Bacterial small subunit ribosomal RNA
Source: RNAcentral